AUCCCAAAGUCAAACCUCUGCAGUCGCAAUGACCACCUCGCAAGACGUCCGUUUAGAUCCUUCAAUGACAUGAGCCAUUUCAGGCUGGCGUGAUCCGUAAUAACCGUGAAGGGCAUCAAUUCAACAAUAAUUUAGCUGAUGCUUGUUUAACUUGGCGGAGAA
Molecule: long non-coding RNA, 162 nt
Organism: Drosophila guanche
Lineage: Eukaryota; Metazoa; Arthropoda; Insecta; Diptera; Drosophilidae
Exons: 2
Source: RefSeq, a predicted model, not a curated record